CAAUAAGUAGUUUAUAGAACAUUAAUUUUGGAGAUUAAAAGAAUGAUUAAAAAUUAUUUUAUUGA
RNAcentral lists this transfer RNA (65 nucleotides) under Cryptopone sauteri. Its description in RNAcentral is "tRNA-Pro". The record is from RNAcentral. Lineage: Eukaryota; Metazoa; Arthropoda; Insecta; Hymenoptera; Formicidae.